GGAUAAUGUCCUGACAGAAGGUCAGAGGGAUAAUGUCCUGACAGAAGGUUAGAGGGAUAAUGUCCUGACAUAAGUUUAGAGGGAUAAUGUCCUGACAGAAUGUCAGAGGGAUAAUGUCCUGACAGAAGG
This is a long non-coding RNA of Oncorhynchus keta (chum salmon), 129 nucleotides long. RefSeq lists it as uncharacterized. The transcript is spliced from 3 exons. Lineage: Eukaryota; Metazoa; Chordata; Actinopteri; Salmoniformes; Salmonidae. The record is from RefSeq and is a predicted model, not a curated record.